UUAAAGACUAUGAAAAGAAGAGUAGAUAGAUAUGUUCUUUUAAAGAGAGCUUCGGAAGGUGAAAGGAAGUAAAGAAACGUCUAUUGAACCAAGCCUUGGAGUUUCAUACGGAUCUUUCAUAAAGAAAGUGAUGCUAUGACGUUUAUCUACGUUACAAGAUUAGAGUAUAAGUUUCUGUAAUUCAGAUUCCGUACUUGAAGAGGCUAUUAUAGUGAUAUAUUAGUAAAAUAGAGUGGCAACGCGAAGUAAGCUUUCGUCUCUAAA
RNAcentral lists this non-coding RNA (264 nucleotides) under Clostridium bornimense. Its description in RNAcentral is "T-box sequence". It matches the Rfam family "T-box leader". Rfam says of the family: Uncharged tRNA acts as the effector for transcription antitermination of genes in the T-box leader family. T-boxes are found upstream of many aminoacyl-tRNA synthetase genes and some amino acid biosynthetic genes usually in Gram-positive bacteria. Lineage: Bacteria; Bacillati; Bacillota; Clostridia; Eubacteriales; Clostridiaceae. The record is from RNAcentral.